This is a long non-coding RNA of Grus americana (Whooping crane), 420 nucleotides long. RefSeq lists it as uncharacterized. The record is from RefSeq and is a predicted model, not a curated record. The transcript has 3 exons. Lineage: Eukaryota; Metazoa; Chordata; Aves; Gruiformes; Gruidae.
GAAUUUGUACUGUCGCUUCCAGCACCCUUUCUCUCUGAGCUGUGUGAGUGGAGCUAUCAGACGGUGUGACAAGCCACUCCAGAAGCUGCAUUCGUCAAUGGAGCAGGGAAAUACAGAAACAGACCACUUCUUUGCUCUGGGAAGCUGCAUUCACGAAAGCUCCGUAUGAACACUGGAAAGCAAAGAGAGAUGCAGGCAAUGAAGAACAUCAAGGGACAAAACUCACACUGCUGGAGGCCCACAAAAUGCCAGUGCUGGAACUGGAACACAAUCCACACACGUGGGUCUAUGGAGUUUCAUGCCUCUAACUUUUCCCUGUGGUAAGCAGCGUUCAUCUCAUUGCGGAGCCGGUCAUUUUCCCGAGCAAUGUCAGAAGCAUUUUGAAUGACCAAGGCAUCGUAUGUUUUCAAUCCCAUGUCC